UACGGAGGAUGCAAGCGUUAUCCGGAAUGAUUGGGCGUAAAGCGUCCGCAGGUGGCAAUGAAAGUCUGUUGUCAAAGGUCAGGGCUUAACUCUGAAGUGGCAGUGGAAACUACAUUCGCUAGAGUGCGGUGGGGGCAGAGGGGAUUCCCAGUGUAGCGGCGAAAUGCGUAGAGAUUGGGAAGAACACCGGUGGCGAAAGCGCUCUGCUAGGCCGUAACUGACACUCAUGGACGAAAGCUAGGGGAGCGAAUGGG
Molecule: ribosomal RNA, 254 nt
Filed under: uncultured Chroococcidiopsis sp.
Lineage: Bacteria; Bacillati; Cyanobacteriota; Cyanophyceae; Chroococcidiopsidales; Chroococcidiopsidaceae
Description: partial 16S ribosomal RNA
Rfam family: Bacterial small subunit ribosomal RNA
Source: RNAcentral